CAAGAUCGUCCAGGGGCAGUGCAUGGACUGCUUUCACCCAACCGAGAGCCGUUGUCCCCCUGGAACCCAGCAAGUAUUCACGUCCAUAAAAAGGACCAAAUGUGCAUAUAGCAGGAGGAAACACGGGAUGUUCAUUGGCUGUGAGGCUUCCUGUCAAAAACGGACCAUCGUAAGGAAGUGUUGCGAGGGCUUUUAUGGUGUUAACUGUGAG
Molecule: non-coding RNA, 211 nt
Organism: Electrophorus electricus (electric eel)
Lineage: Eukaryota; Metazoa; Chordata; Actinopteri; Gymnotiformes; Gymnotidae
Source: RefSeq, a predicted model, not a curated record